Coturnix japonica (Japanese quail) is the source of this 149-nucleotide unclassified non-coding RNA. Lineage: Eukaryota; Metazoa; Chordata; Aves; Galliformes; Phasianidae. The record is from Ensembl.
UUGACAGCCCUGAAGACCAAAGACCUUUAUUUAUGCAUGAGCAGCAGCAGUUCUGGCUUUCCCACACUGCCCUUCUGGUAGGCUUCACCCAUGACCUGAAGGAUCCUCCUUUGGGUGACAGUCUUGGGCCCAAUCACUGUGCCAGUCCU